CACAAGCGGUGGAGCAUGUGGUUUAAUUUCGAAAGCAACGCGAAGGAACCUUACCAGGCCUUGACAUGCAGAGAACUUCCAGAGAUGGAUUGGUGCCUUCGGGAACUCUGACACAGGUGCUGCAUGGCUGUCGUCAGCUCGUGUCGUGAGAUGUUGGGUUAAGUCCCGUAACGAGCGCAACCCUUGUCCUUAGUUACCAGCACGUUAUGGUGGGCACUCUAAGGAGACUGCCGGUGACAAACCGGAGGAAGGUGGGGGAUGACGUCAAGUCAUCAUGGCCCUUACGGCCUGGGCUACACACGUGCUACAAUGGUCGGUACAAAGGGUUGCCAAGCCGCGAGGUGGAGCUAAUCCCAUAAAACCGAUCGUAGUCCGGAUCGCAGUCUGCAACUCGACUGCGUGAAGUCGGAAUCGCUAGUAAUCGUGAAUCAGAAUGUCACGGUGAAUACGUUCCCGGGCCUU
RNAcentral lists this ribosomal RNA (462 nucleotides) under uncultured Pseudomonas sp. RNAcentral's name for it is "bacterial SSU rRNA". It matches the Rfam family "Bacterial small subunit ribosomal RNA", at positions 924 to 1382 of the family's 1533-position model. The record is from RNAcentral. Lineage: Bacteria; Pseudomonadati; Pseudomonadota; Gammaproteobacteria; Pseudomonadales; Pseudomonadaceae.